RNAcentral lists this long non-coding RNA (900 nucleotides) under Carassius auratus (goldfish). RNAcentral describes it as "lncRNA (ENSCARG00000055241.1)". The record is from RNAcentral. Lineage: Eukaryota; Metazoa; Chordata; Actinopteri; Cypriniformes; Cyprinidae.
GUUACUGUGUGCCACGCCCAUAUCGAGCUACCGGUCUUCUGAUUGGGUUAUAUCCCAGAAAGGGGCGUGUCUACCAUAACGUCAAUCACUGGAUUCGGCUCCAAUGACGCCAGUCUGAGAACUGUUGCUGCUGUCGCGGUGCGCGGAGAACCGGAGACACACAUCGGCGCGUUUGUUUGGGGAUGUGCGUGAUUGAACGCGUCCAGAACACCGGAGCGCGUGAGUGCAGGUGUGUGUGACGGACAUCAUCAUGCUCAAAGGCUCUCGGUGAUCCACUCCUUCCCAUGAUUCCUCACCAGGCCGCCCCAUGCCAGCCCGUAACCAUGACGACCGCUCGCCCCCGCUCGCCCCUCCGUCGCCCGGCGGCCGUUUGACUGGAUGAGGAACCCGGCCUCCAGUGAUGUGAUGCACAGGUUCGAGGUUCUUGGGAUUGUGGGGGAAGGAGCGUACGGAGUCGUCCUGAAGUGCAGACACAAGGUAAGAUUUCAGAGAAACCAGUUCAGAGCGUGUCGUUUCUAAGCACACCACACACACUUCAUCUCAUCCGCUGCAUGUUUGGCUCAAAGAGUGUGUGUGUUCACAAAAAGUGUGGCUUGGAAAGCAUACAAGUCCAAACUAAUGACUCAUUUUGAAAUAAAGUAGCAUGUAGUAUCCUACACAUAUACUGUGCAGUGAUUUUCUGUCUGUUAAUGUGCAAUAAUAGUGUAUCCCAUAAUGCAAUCAUGCACUCAUAACAUAAAGAGCUUAUGUGACAUGAUGCAUUUUACUGUUUGAAAUGUUUAUUGUUUCUCUAAAGUGUGUAUUUAAUAAUAGGCACACUGUAGUGUUUUAUGUAUUCUUGUUUGAUGAUUUCUUUAAAUGAUAAGUCCUUAAAACACACACACACACACACACACACGU